AACGAACGUUGGCGGCGUGGAUUAGGCAUGCAAGUCGAGCGGGAUUACCUUGGUUCAAUCUUUCGGGAGAGAACCUUGGUAUGAGAGCGGCGAACGGGUGAGUAAUACUUGGGUAAUUUGCCUCUUUGUUCGGGAUAGCCAUCGGAAACGAUGAUUAAUACCGAAUGUGUUCGGGUGCUGCAUAGCACCUUGUAUAAAGGCGGGGAUUCUUCGGAACCUGUCGCAAAGAGAUAAGCCCAAGCCCUAUCAGCUUGUUGGUGAGGUAAUGGCUCACCAAGGCUUACGGGUAGCUGGUCUGAGAGGAUGGUCAGCCACACUGGGACUGAGACACUGCCCAG
RNAcentral lists this ribosomal RNA (338 nucleotides) under uncultured bacterium. RNAcentral's name for it is "bacterial SSU rRNA". It matches the Rfam family "Bacterial small subunit ribosomal RNA", at positions 29 to 334 of the family's 1533-position model. The record is from RNAcentral.